Molecule: ribosomal RNA, 465 nt
Filed under: Vreelandella stevensii
Lineage: Bacteria; Pseudomonadati; Pseudomonadota; Gammaproteobacteria; Oceanospirillales; Halomonadaceae
Description: partial 16S ribosomal RNA
Rfam family: Bacterial small subunit ribosomal RNA
Source: RNAcentral
CCUACGGGCGGCUGCAGUGGGGAAUAUUGGACAAUGGGCGAAAGCCUGAUCCAGCCAUGCCGCGUGUGUGAAGAAGGCCUUCGGGUUGUAAAGCACUUUCAGUGGGGAAGAAAGCCUUGGGGCUAAUACCCUCGAGGAAGGACAUCACCCACAGAAGAAGCACCGGCUAACUCCGGGCCAGCAGCCGCGGUAAUACGGAGGGUGCGAGCGUUAAUCGGAAUUACUGGGCGUAAAGCGCGCGUAGGCGGUCUGAUAAGCCGGUUGUGAAAGCCCCGGGCUCAACCUGGGAACGGCAUCCGGAACUGUCAGGCUAGAGUGCAGGAGAGGAAGGUAGAAUUCCCGGUGUAGCGGUGAAAUGCGUAGAGAUCGGGAGGAAUACCAGUGGCGAAGGCGGCCUUCUGGACUGACACUGACGCUGAGGUGCGAAAGCGUGGGUAGCAAACAGGAUUAGAUACCCCUGUAGUC